AACGAACGCUGGCGGCGUGCUUAACACAUGCAAGUCGAACGGACAGACAGAGAGCUUGCUCUCUUGAAGUUAGUGGCGAACGGGUGAGUAACGCGUAAUCAACCUGCCCUUCAGAGGGGGAUAACAACGGGAAACCGUUGCUAAUACCGCGUACGAUUCAUGAACGGCAUCGUUUAUGAAUGAAAGGUGGCCUCUAUGUAUAAGCUAUCGCUGAAGGAGGGGAUUGCGUCUGAUUAGCUAGUUGGAGGGGUAACGGCCCACCAAGGCAAUGAUCAGUGGCAGGUCGGAGAGGAUGAACGGCCGAAUUGGGACUGAGACACGGCCCAAACUCCUACGGGAGGCAGCAGUGGGGAAUCUUCCGCAAUGGACGAAAGUCUGACGGAGCAACGCCGCGUGAGUGAUGAAGGUCUUCGGAUUGUAAAGCUCUGUUAAUCGGGACGAAAGAGUUCUGCGUGAAUAAUGCAGAAAAGUGACGGUACCGGAAUAGAAAGCCACGGCUAACUACGUGCCAGCAGCCGCCGUAA
RNAcentral lists this ribosomal RNA (524 nucleotides) under uncultured bacterium. Its description in RNAcentral is "partial 16S ribosomal RNA". It matches the Rfam family "Bacterial small subunit ribosomal RNA", at positions 29 to 523 of the family's 1533-position model. The record is from RNAcentral.